This 253-nucleotide ribosomal RNA is filed under the name uncultured bacterium. RNAcentral describes it as "partial 16S ribosomal RNA". It matches the Rfam family "Bacterial small subunit ribosomal RNA", at positions 524 to 776 of the family's 1533-position model. The record is from RNAcentral.
UACGGAGGGUGCAAGCGUUGUUCGGAAUUAUUGGGCGUAAAGGGCAGGUAGGUGGUCUGGUAAGUCUACUGUGAAAUUCCUGGGCUUAACCUAGGCAGGUCAGAUGAUACUGAUUGACUCGAGUAUGGGAGAGGGUAGUGGAAUUUCCGGUGUAGCGGUGAAAUGCGUAGAGAUCGGAAGGAACACCAGUGGCGAAGGCGGCUACCUGGCCUAAUACUGACACUGAGGCACGAAAGCGUGGGGAGCAAACAGG